AACGAACGCUGGCGGCAGGCUUAACACAUGCAAGUCGAGCGCCCCGCCAGGGGAGCGGCAGACGGGUGAGUAACGCGUGGGAACGUACCUUUUGGUUCGGAACAACUCCGGGAAACUGGAGCUAAUACCGGAUAAGCCCUAACGGGGAAAGAUUUAUCGCCGAAAGAUCGGCCCGCGUCUGAUUAGCUAGUUGGUGAGGUAACGGCUCACCAAGGCGACGAUCAGUAGCUGGUCUGAGAGGAUGAUCAGCCACACUGGGACUGAGACACGGCCCAGACUCCUACGGGAGGCGGCAGUGGGGAAUAUUGGACAAUGGCCGCAAGCCUGAUCCAGCCAUGCCGCGUGAGUGAUGAAGGCCUUAGGGUUGUAAAGCUCUUUUGUCCGGGAAGAUAAUGACUGUACCGGAAGAAUAAGCCCCGGCUAACUUCGUG
Molecule: ribosomal RNA, 431 nt
Filed under: uncultured bacterium
Lineage: Bacteria
Description: partial 16S ribosomal RNA
Rfam family: Bacterial small subunit ribosomal RNA
Source: RNAcentral